UACGUAGGGGGCAAGCGUUGUCCGGAAUCAUUGGGCGUAAAGAGCGUGUAGGCGGUUCGGUAAGUCGGCUGUGAAAGUCCAGGGCUCAACCCUGGGAUGCCGGUCGAUACUGCCGGACUAGAGUUCGGAAGAGGAGAGUGGAAUUCCUGGUGUAGCGGUGAAAUGCGCAGAUAUCAGGAAGAACACCAAUGGCGAAGGCAGCUCUCUGGGACGGUACUGACGCUGAGACGCGAAAGCGUGGGGAGCGAACAGG
This 253-nucleotide ribosomal RNA is filed under the name uncultured bacterium. RNAcentral describes it as "partial 16S ribosomal RNA". It matches the Rfam family "Bacterial small subunit ribosomal RNA", at positions 524 to 776 of the family's 1533-position model. The record is from RNAcentral.